This is a long non-coding RNA of Mercenaria mercenaria, 1426 nucleotides long. RefSeq lists it as uncharacterized. Lineage: Eukaryota; Metazoa; Mollusca; Bivalvia; Venerida; Veneridae. The transcript is spliced from 3 exons. The record is from RefSeq and is a predicted model, not a curated record.
UUCUACUCGCUUUUAAUAUCUUAAAUGUAAAUUUAUUUUUCAAAAUUGAAUACCUGCCUAGAUUAAAUAAAUUAUAUUACACUCAGAAUUAAAUUUCACAUUAUUUUAAAUGUCAGUUAAACUAUUUAUAUUUAUUUUGCGUUCAUAGAUGUUAAAACAAUUACAUUUCAGUCACCAUGAAGUUUCUUCAAAUUUUAGUCUUGAUAGUUCAAGUAAUGGAUGUUACAACAUCGGAAGCGACUAAUUCGGCAUCAACACCAGUAACAACAGCAUCAGUAACUACAAACUUGGCAACAAAACUAAGAACUCAAACGCCAACAAGAACAGUUAGUGUAACAACAACGAAAGCAAGAGCGCCCUGUAAAAGAUUCCUAGCUUUAUCAACAUUUGCUGCAUCAACCAGCCCUCCACCAAAAACAUUACCACCAACUACAAGUAAGAUUUGCGUACACGCCAUUUUGUAGAAUUAGGUGUUUGUAAAUAUUUUGUUUUGUAACUGAAAACAUUCGAAUGCUUUUUAUUAAAGUAAUCAUUAGUGUAGGAAUAUGCAUUUUUUUCGUAUUAUCAUCUGCAGAAUGCAAAAUGACUUGCUGGUACCCGAGCCCGAUGAUGUGAGGAAUCGAUGAGAUUUGGAAAUGUUAUAACACACAUUCUUAGGUCUAGCACUGGUUUAGAAUAAACGAAAAACAGAAUAUAACUUCAAUCGAUUGGAGUAUGGUUGUUUAUGUUUUGAUGUAAAACUUUCUAGUUUAGCCUUGGUAGUCGACGAAAAACUCCACCUUGAAUAGACGGAUCAAUUUAUUUCCAGUCGAGCUUCAGAUCAGUAGAUGUUGUACAUGAGCCAGUGGAUUGCAUUGCUACGCUGAGCGAAACUUGACGUUGUUUUAGUUAGCACUGACGCAAUCAAUUUGUAAAAUUUCUUGGCGAUCUAAAAAGGCAUUGAAGUAUUCCACACAAUUGCACAUUCUCCAAUCUGAUUAACUGCUAUUUCAGUUAUAAAUAAUUCAGUAUUCAAUUAUUCAAAAAUUGUUUAUUUCAGCUUCAUGUGCUGUGUUGUUGGUCCAAAGUUUCUCUGUGAAAACAUGUAUGCCCCUACCCCAUGUCCUCCACCAAACAAUUACUGCAUUAAUACAAUAACAAACCACAAAGAUGGGACAAAAUCAGUAGACAGAGCUUGUGGUAAUUUUGACACUUGUUACCGUGAAUGGUUCCUAGGAUCCUCGGACAACGACAAAUGCCGAAAACUGAGCGAUAAUGACGAGGAGCGACUCGACUUUCAGUGCACAUUUUGCUGUAUUAAAGACAACUGUAACACUCCACUGCAUCCAUCAGAUGACACCUUGUACAAACCUGUGAAAUGAAGACAUUACACACUUAGUGCCUGUAUUUGAAAUAUUUCGCUAAUAAAGAAAUAUCCAAGGGGUUA